Molecule: ribosomal RNA, 465 nt
Filed under: uncultured bacterium
Lineage: Bacteria
Description: partial small subunit ribosomal RNA
Rfam family: Bacterial small subunit ribosomal RNA
Source: RNAcentral
AGAAUCAACGCUGGCGGCGUGCCUAACACAUGCAAGUCGAACGAGAAAGUGGAGCAAUCCAUGAGUAAAGUGGCGACCGGGUGAGUAACACGUGACUAACCUACCCUCGAGUGGGGAAUAACAUCGGGAAACCGAUGCUAAUACCGCAUAACAUCGCAAGAUCAAAGCCGAAAGGCGCUUGAGGAGGGGGUCGCGGCUGAUUAGCUAGUUGGUGAGGUAAUGGCCUACCAAGGCGACGACGGGUAGCCGGCCUGAGAGGGCGACCGGCCACACUGGGACUGAGACACGGCCCAGACUCCUACGGGAGGCAGCAGUGGGGAAUCUUGCGCAAUGGGCGAAAGCCUGACGCAGCGACGCCGCGUGGGGGAUGAAGGCCUUCGGGUUGUAAACCCCUUUCAGCAGGGACGAAGCGAAAGUGACGGUACCUGCAGAAGAAGCGCCGGCUAACUACGUGCCAGCAGCCGC